GAGUCGGCUUGGCAAUUGCGUACUGCUUUGCAGUAUGAGGAAAGUCCGAGCAGCACAGAGCAGGAUAACGGCUAACGGCCGCCGAGGGUGACCUUAGGGAAAGUGCAACAGAAAUAUACCGCCUCUAUGAGGUAAGGGUGGAAAGGCGAGGUAAGAGCUCACCGAGGAAGUGGAGACAUUUCCUGCCAUGUAAACCCUAUCCGCUGCAACAUCGACUAAAGGGUUGUUUGCUCGACACAUAACUUUGAAGGAUGGCUGGAGCGCAGGAGCAAUUCUGCGUCGAGAUAGAUAAUUGCCCACGACAGAACUCGGCUUACUGCCGGCUC
Molecule: RNase P RNA, 326 nt
Filed under: uncultured Eubacterium sp.
Lineage: Bacteria; Bacillati; Bacillota; Clostridia; Eubacteriales; Eubacteriaceae
Description: Bacterial RNase P class A
Rfam family: Bacterial RNase P class A
About the family: Ribonuclease P (RNase P) is a ubiquitous endoribonuclease, found in archaea, bacteria and eukarya as well as chloroplasts and mitochondria. Its best characterised activity is the generation of mature 5'-ends of tRNAs by cleaving the 5'-leader elements of precursor-tRNAs.
Source: RNAcentral